This 161-nucleotide ribosomal RNA is filed under the name uncultured bacterium. Its description in RNAcentral is "partial 16S ribosomal RNA". It matches the Rfam family "Bacterial small subunit ribosomal RNA", at positions 355 to 507 of the family's 1533-position model. The record is from RNAcentral.
UGGGGAAUUUUGCGCAAUGGGGGAAACCCUGACGCAGCAACGCCGCGUGACCGAUGAAGCUUCUAGGAGCGUAAAGGUCUGUCGUAAGGGAAGAAAAGUUUGGAUGUAAAUAAUGUUCGAACCUGACGGUACCUUACAAGAAAGCACCGGCUAACUUCGUG